Chinchilla lanigera (long-tailed chinchilla) is the source of this 2897-nucleotide long non-coding RNA. NCBI's taxonomy places the organism in Eukaryota, Metazoa, Chordata, Mammalia, Rodentia, Chinchillidae. The record is from Ensembl.
GUCCAGGUUGCCUCAGAAAGGCAAAAUCAGCUUGCGUAUUCAGCAUAUGAUAUAGCAAAAGUAAGAUAACACAAAAACAGGUGCAUGUGUGCAGGUGUGAGCAUCUGAGGAGCAGUCUAAGAUGAAUCAGAUUUGACAGCCAUGUCGUUUGCAUGUGUAUGGAGCCCAAGAGAAUGGGUGAUAUCUCAUAAGAUGUGCAGCAGGAAAGAGGAUUAUCUCAGAAGACGAGGACAGGCACCAGCAUUCAGUUACCACUGCCUAAGGAUAGCCCCAGAAUGUGUCUCUUGGAGAUUCAAGACUGAGGAACAGAAAGCCUGUAGACUCGGAAGCCAGACCCCCCGAUUCAUUGUUCUGCAUUUACCAGGGGUGACUGCCCAUGAAACUUAAACUACUGUGGCUCAGCUUCCUCCUUCCAUUUGAAAUACAUGAGUAUUUGUCACAUUCAAAGUGAGUAUUAAGUAAAAAAAAAUGUAUAAAAUGCUUAGAAUGGUGCUGGGCAUGCGCUAACUAACUACACACUGAGCAGCAUGUAACACUGCAAAAGCCUCCUGACUGGUUUCACUGCUUUCUCUUCUCUCUUCUCUGCUCCUCACAUGGAAGAUAGGCUGGUCUGUAUAACACAAAGCACUCCCUGCUGGAACAAUUUCCAUAGUCCUCUAGACCUUCUGGAGUGGAUUCCAUUCUCAUCUCCUGCCACACCCCUGCGGGCAGCCUGUGCUUUCUGAGUCCUGGAUCUGCCAUCUACAUCCACACCUUUGUGCCAUUAGUGAUUCUCUGCCUGGGAUUUCCCUCUUCUUUGCUUCUUGCUAACCCACUUCUGAUCCUCUCAAGCACAGAUCAGAUGUCACACACUCAGUGAAAACUGCUGACUUUCCUCUCCUCAGCAUAUAAUGUUGACUACUUGCGACUCUUUACUCCCAUGGCAAUCUGUGUAUGUCUCCAACUUAGCCCACCCACCCAUGUGGCAGCCUGAAUGGGCAUCUACCCUAUGCCACCCACACUUCUUGCACAUCUGGACUCCCCAAGAACUUUCUUGUGUUCACAUACAUGGCUUCUUACCAGAAUCCCUAAAGGACUGAGUAAAAUAUGGUUUAGUUUGUGCAUGACUGUGGUUGAGCUUGGGACAGUGUGAAUCUAUAACAGUUUAAUUUUUUGGAUCCUAUGCUUUGUGUCUCAACAUAUUUAAGAAAUUUUUUAAUGUAAGUGCCAAUUCUAAGUUCUUUUUGUCCUCGUGGAGACUGCUUCUCUCCUUGAGACACAGUUGAGAAAGAGCAGACUCAAAGCCCUAUUAUAUGGAAAUAGAUGUGAUGUUUUCCUCUUUGGUUACAAAUCCCUGCAUAGAGAAGAGGGCUGCAUAUCCAGAAGGUGAUUAAUCUUUUAGCAAUGUGGUGCUGACACUCAAAUCUAAAGUGUUGCCCUUCUGUGUUGAUUAAUAGUACCCUCCAGGAGCAAAAGUCUACCAAACUCUUUUUCCUGUGGAAGUGGGUUUGGCUGGGGGCUAAUGUGGGCCUCAAGCUCUUUGGAAGAAGAAUUGCCUCAGAGAGGUGGUCUCUUUGGAAAAAGGGUAUGAUUUUAAACCUUGUACCUGUCAGUCAUUGGAUCUUGUUUUCUCUGAAGGGAAUUGGUAAAAUCAUAGUCUCCUGGAUGGAGCAGCUCCAUUUAGGGUGACGUGAUCUCCGAUGAAGAAAACAAACAAUAGCAUCCAUGUCUUAGUUACUUUUCUUGUUGCUGAGUUAAAAUACCUGAUACCCACAAGGUAAAGGAGGAAAGGUUUAUUUCAGCUCACAAUUGGUAGGGAUUUUAGUCCAUAGUUGGUUGGCUCCAAGGAAGAGCAGCAUGGCAGAGAGACCUCACAGAGGAGAAAUAGCCCAUGGCAGGGUAGGCAGGAGGCAGCAACAAAGAAGCAGCAGCAGUAGCAGUAGCAGUAGCAGUAGCAGUAGCAGUAGCAGUAGCAGUAGCAGUAGCAGUCUGCCUUUCCCUUUUAGCCUAUCCAGGCUACAAACUAUUGAUUGGUACCACCCACAUCCAGGGUGGGUCUUCCAUUAUCCAUACCCAGAACUAUGCUAAAUCAAUUUAGUUAUCACACACCAUAGAUACAGCCACCUCCAGAAAGCCCCACUGUUAUGAUUUGUGUCUGUGUGUCCCCCCAAAGCCUCAUGUGGCCAUGGGGCAGGCUUUUAGAGUUUGAUUGAUUAUGGGUAUGAGAGCUACACCCACCCUGGGGUGGAUAGUUUGCAUAUGUAAGGGAGAGGAAGAGACUACUUGAGGCCAUUCCUCCCCCAUUCCUCCCUUGUGUGUGUCUUGUUGCUUUGCUGUGUUCUGCCAUCAUGAGCUGUAGCUCUCUGCCAUGUGCCAGUCUGCCUUGUAAUCUGCCAAGUAUGGACUGAAACCUCCACAAACUGUAAGCGAAAUAAACCUUUCCUUCCUUAAUUUUGGGCAUCAGGUAUUUUGUCCCAGCAACAAGAGAAAAGUAACCAAGACACCCACCUAUGAGGGCAUGAGGCUUUGGGGGGACAUCUAGAUACAAGCUACAACAAUCUGUUACACCUAUUAUCUGGGAGCAAAUAAGUGGGGACAGAGGGUGCUCAGAGGACACAACCUCACUUGGGUGCCAUGGAGAUGCUGACAUGGGAAUGGGAAAAGUGUGCUCACUGGUGUGUGUGUGGGUGGAUCUGUAUUCAGGGGAGGAAGGUGGUUACACGUUCCCAAUGUUUCUGGUAUGGAGCUCAGGCAAUCUUAGGAUAUUAAAUGAAUGAUGACUUGGAUGUGUAAAGACUGAAGACAUUAUACCUUGAAGUAGUUAAGUAGUAAACAUUUUUUUGAUAAUCCACAGUGUACUUAAUAAGUUCUAGUGAUACAGUUCUAGCAAUAGUUUGCUAUGGUGAUAUGUUAUGAGU